CUCCUCCUCCAGUCUUCUGUCGGUACCUUCUUUCUAUAAAGCUGAAAACAACAACAGUUGCAGCUGUAGAAAAACUGAGAAACAUCAGCUACCCCAUCAUCAGCAGCAAUCUACACAUCUCUGAUGUUAACAUCUCUACAGUGUGCUCCCCCUAUAAUACAAGCCACCAGUGCAGAUGUGAGGAUCAGUAUGGCUGGCCUUGUGACAUGUGCUCCACUUUUGGUGAAUACAGCAACCUUCCAGACAAUACCUGUGGAUGCAUCAAUGCACUUCCUCCAAAUAAUACUUACUGCCAGCCACUGUCAGAUCUAAAUCCCUGCCCAACGACAGCACCAACAACUA
Long non-coding RNA from Cyprinodon variegatus (sheepshead minnow), 342 nucleotides. RefSeq lists it as uncharacterized. The record is from RefSeq and is a predicted model, not a curated record. The transcript is spliced from 3 exons. Lineage: Eukaryota; Metazoa; Chordata; Actinopteri; Cyprinodontiformes; Cyprinodontidae.